UACAGAGGGUGCAAGCGUUGUUCGGAAUUAUUGGGCGUAAAGAGUGUGUAGGCGGUGCUCUAAGUUUGGUGUGAAAUCUCCCGGCUCAACUGGGAGGGUGCAUCGAAAACUGGAGUGCUCGAGGGUUGGAGAGGUAAGCGGAAUUCCUGGUGUAGCGGUGAAAUGCGUAGAUAUCAGGAGGAACACCUGUGGUGUAGACAGCUUACUGGACCACUUCUGACGCUGAGACACGAAAGCGUGGGUAGCAAACAGG
RNAcentral lists this ribosomal RNA (253 nucleotides) under uncultured bacterium. RNAcentral's name for it is "partial 16S ribosomal RNA". It matches the Rfam family "Bacterial small subunit ribosomal RNA", at positions 524 to 776 of the family's 1533-position model. The record is from RNAcentral.